GCUUAGCCACAAACUUUUAAUUACACCACAAACGCCAGGGAACUACGAGCAAAGCUUAAAACCCAAAGGACUUGACGGUGCCCCACAUCCCCCUAGAGGAGCCUGUCCUAUAAUCGAUAACCCCCGUUAAACCUCACCAUUUUUAGCCAAAUCAGUCUGUAUACCUCCGUCGUCAGCUUACCACAUGAGUGGAUCAUAGUAAGUUCAAUGUCAUGCCUAUCAAUACGUCAGGUCAAGGUGCAACUUAUAAAAUGGGAAGAGAUGGGCUACACUUUCUAACUUAGAAGAAACGGAGGACUACUAUGAAAACUAGUCUAAAGGUGGAUUUAGCAGUAAAAAAAGACCAGAGAGCUUUUUUUAAUCCGGCCCUGGGGUGUGUACACACCGCCCGUCACCCUCUUCGCAGCCAUACAACAGUUAUUAACAAAACUUGCACAGUAGAAGAGGUAAGUCGUAACAUGGUAAGUAUACCGGAAGGUGUGCUUGGAAAC
Molecule: ribosomal RNA, 491 nt
Filed under: Boana faber (blacksmith treefrog)
Lineage: Eukaryota; Metazoa; Chordata; Amphibia; Anura; Hylidae
Description: partial small subunit ribosomal RNA
Rfam family: Bacterial small subunit ribosomal RNA
Source: RNAcentral